GGCGCGCUGGGCAAAGCGGGGGUCGCGCGUCUCCUGUGCGAGUGCGAGGUAGGUGCGGUACGCCGGUUCGACCAGCCCGCGCUGC
This 85-nucleotide transfer RNA is filed under the name Ralstonia wenshanensis. RNAcentral describes it as "tRNA-Arg". Lineage: Bacteria; Pseudomonadati; Pseudomonadota; Betaproteobacteria; Burkholderiales; Burkholderiaceae. The record is from RNAcentral.